GGGAGGGGGGGCAAGCGUUGUCGGAAUUACUGGGCGUAAAGGGCGCGUAGGGCGGUAUGCCAUGUCAGGGGGUGAAAGGGCCUGGGCUCGACCCAGGAACUGCCUUUGAAACUGGCAAACUAGAGUCCGAUAGAGGAUGGCGGAAUUCCCAGUGUAGAGGUGAAAUUCGUAGAUAUUGGGAAGAACACCAGUGGCGAAGGCGGCCAUCUGGAUCGGCACUGACGCUGAGGCGCGAAAGCGUGGGGAGCAAACAGGAUUAGAUACCCUGGUAGUCCACGCCGUAAACGAUGUGUGCUAGACGUUGGGGGUCUUAGACCCUGGGUGUCGUAGCUAACGCGUUAAGCACACCGCCUGGGGAGUACGGCCGCAAGGUUA
This 375-nucleotide ribosomal RNA is filed under the name uncultured organism. RNAcentral describes it as "partial 16S ribosomal RNA". It matches the Rfam family "Bacterial small subunit ribosomal RNA", at positions 524 to 896 of the family's 1533-position model. The record is from RNAcentral.